GACGAACGCUGGCGGCGUGCUUAACACAUGCAAGUCGAACGGACAGGCCCUGCUUUUGUGGGGUGCUCGAGUGGCGCACGGGUGAGUAACGCGUGAGUAACCUGCCCUUGACUUUGGGAUAACUUCAGGAAACUGGGGCUAAUACCGGAUAGGAGCUCCUGCUGCAUGGUGGGGGUUGGAAAGUUUCGGCGGUUGGGGAUGGACUCGCGGCUUAUGAGCUUGUUGGUGGGGUAGUGGCUUACCAAGGCUAUGACGGGUAGCCGGCCUGAGAGGGUGACCGGCCACAUUGGGACUGAGAUACGGCCCAGACUCCUACGGGAGGCAGCAGUGGGGAAUAUUGCACAAUGGGCGGAAGCCUGAUGCAGCAACGCCGCGUGCGGGAUGACGGCCUUCGGGUUGUAAACCGCUUUCGCCUGUGACGAAGCGUGAGUGACGGUAAUGGGUAAAGAAGCACCGGCUAACUACGUG
Molecule: ribosomal RNA, 468 nt
Filed under: uncultured bacterium
Lineage: Bacteria
Description: partial 16S ribosomal RNA
Rfam family: Bacterial small subunit ribosomal RNA
Source: RNAcentral